GGAGAUUGCAAGAGGAAAACAAAGAGGUGUCUGUGCGUACACGAGAGCAGGCAAAAGCAACGCGCCGAGGAGAAAGAAGCCCGGGAGACCCGCUCAGGCAGCGGAACGUACAGGCACUGUGCUGAACAUGCAUUAUCUCCUUUAAUGCCUCCAAGACCUUCUUGAGAAACACAUUGGAGGCUAAUCCCCAAGACCUGGAGAGAGAUACACCCAAGAAAACCUUUUUGACUUUGCUAGAGGAACUUCACCUGCUUCAAGCUUGUUUUCAUCUCAUCAGAGCUCCUCAUUUCUUCAUCCCUUGGCAGCAGUCAGGAACUCUGCUGCCAUAAAGUGGAUUACUCCUGAAUCAGGGCAUCGUGCCCACUGGUAGCACUGCUUUCCUCUAGAACCAUUCCAGGACCCACAGCCUGGGAACACUCGGCUUGCUCUAGUAGGUACAAUGUAGCUUUGACAUGAAUUAUUCUCUAAAGAAAACUCUCUGGAUGUGCCCAAGAACAAUUUACAUUAGCAGGAGAAAUAAAUAAGAAAAUAG
Molecule: long non-coding RNA, 532 nt
Organism: Manis javanica (Malayan pangolin)
Lineage: Eukaryota; Metazoa; Chordata; Mammalia; Pholidota; Manidae
Source: RefSeq, a predicted model, not a curated record